Rhipicephalus microplus (southern cattle tick) is the source of this 255-nucleotide long non-coding RNA. Lineage: Eukaryota; Metazoa; Arthropoda; Arachnida; Ixodida; Ixodidae. The record is from RefSeq and is a predicted model, not a curated record.
UUCAGGUGGUGGCGUUCGGUUCUGGUGCACAAUGGUCUACUGCAAUGUCAUCGGUUGCUGCACCCUGGAGUCAUUUUUGUGACUGGCUUCGAGAUUGACGACCCACUUGUUAUUGGACACAAUAACGGCCCGCAGCGUGAUUUUACCCUAGAAAAAGGGCUCUUUACCAUUCGUUUCUCCACGCACGUCGAAAAAGUCCCACGUUGACUUUUCGAAGCUAAUUGGAGGUGCAAAGGCACCAAAACUGUCAGAAAG